CCUACGGGCGGCAGCAGUGAGGAAUAUUGGUCAAUGGACGAGAGUCUGAACCAGCCAAGUAGCGUGAAGGAUGACUGCCCUAUGGGUUGUAAACUUCUUUUAUAUGGGAAUAAAAUGUUCCACGUGUGGGAUUUUGUAUGUACCAUAUGAAUAAGGAUCGGCUAACUCCGUGCCAGCAGCCGCGGUAAUACGGAGGAUCCGAGCGUUAUCCGGAUUUAUUGGGUUUAAGGGGAGCGUAGGUGGAUUGUUAAGUCAGUGGUGAAAGUUUGCGGCUCAACCGUAAAAUUGCAGUUGAAACUGGCAGUCUUGAGUACAGUAGAGGUGGGCGGAAUUCGUGGUGUAGCGGUGAAAUGCUUAGAUAUCACGAAGAACUCCGAUUGCGAAGGCAGUUCACUGGACUGCAACUGACACUGAGGCUCGAAAGUGUGGGUAUCAAACAGGAUUAGAUACCCUAGUAGUC
RNAcentral lists this ribosomal RNA (460 nucleotides) under uncultured bacterium. RNAcentral's name for it is "partial 16S ribosomal RNA". It matches the Rfam family "Bacterial small subunit ribosomal RNA", at positions 338 to 795 of the family's 1533-position model. The record is from RNAcentral.